AAGUAGGGGAGACCGGGUACAAACGUAACGGCGGGUCGAAAGUAACAAAUGCUCUCUAGAUUCAUCCAAUGGUCGAACACAGCUCCGCCGCCGUCAGGCGAUAGCUGAGAGCACCCCCCUCACUUGUAGUUAGUCGCCGCGUACUUCAAGCACUGUUAGAUUGUGUGAGAGGAUACUAAGUGUUUUUACAAACCAAAAAAUGCCGCGACAACGCAUAAGAACAACUACACGACACAUAAGUGUAUAGAAAAGCGGCGGAUAAUUUUUUUUCUGAAAUGUGGCACGAUAGUCAAAUGGCUGGUAAUGAAUGGUUGACGGGUUUUUUAAAACGGCACCCGAGCCUCUGUUUGAGAUCUCAGAGUUUCAACGAACAUAAUGUGAGCAAAUUUUUUGAUAAUCUUGCUGAGGUAAUUGAUAGGUACAAAUUUGAGCCAAAAGAUAUCUGGAAUAUGGAUGAGACAGGGGUCCACUGUCCAAAAACUUAGCACGAUUGUUGCUCAAAAAGGAACUGAACAAGUAGGUCCAGUAACCUCAGCAGAACGUGGAAGAUUAGUAACUGUUGCUGUUGCGAUUAAUGCUCAAGGAGGACACAUACCUCCUUUUUUUCGUAUUCCCAUUGAAACAAUUCCAAGACCACAUGAUACUUGAGGGUCCUGUUGGUUGUGCCGGAGCUGGCAAUGCUAGUGGAUGGAUGCAGAAUGCAGAACUUUUACUUUUUACAUAAAUACUUGUUGAUAAUAAACAAGUAUUACAUA
Pieris napi is the source of this 755-nucleotide long non-coding RNA. RefSeq lists it as uncharacterized. The transcript is spliced from 2 exons. The record is from RefSeq and is a predicted model, not a curated record. NCBI's taxonomy places the organism in Eukaryota, Metazoa, Arthropoda, Insecta, Lepidoptera, Pieridae.